UACGGAGGAUCCGAGCGUUAUCCGGAAUUAUUGGGCGUAAAGAGCGCGCAGGUGGUUGAUUAAGUCUGAUGUGAAAGCCCACGGCUUAACCGUGGAGGGUCAUUGGAAACUGGUCGACUUGAGUGCAGAAGAGGGAAGUGGAAUUCCAUGUGUAGCGGUGAGAUGCGUAGAGAUAUGGAGGAACACCAGUGGCGAAGGCGGCUUCCUGGUCUGUAACUGACACUGAGGCACGAAAGCGUGGGGAGCAAACAGGAUUAGA
Molecule: ribosomal RNA, 259 nt
Filed under: uncultured prokaryote
Description: partial 16S ribosomal RNA
Rfam family: Bacterial small subunit ribosomal RNA
Source: RNAcentral